RNAcentral lists this ribosomal RNA (506 nucleotides) under uncultured Desulfobulbus sp. Its description in RNAcentral is "bacterial SSU rRNA". It matches the Rfam family "Bacterial small subunit ribosomal RNA", at positions 887 to 1382 of the family's 1533-position model. The record is from RNAcentral. Lineage: Bacteria; Pseudomonadati; Thermodesulfobacteriota; Desulfobulbia; Desulfobulbales; Desulfobulbaceae.
CGCCAGCCCGCUCAGAAACUCAAAUGAAUUGACGGGGGCCCGCACAAGCGGUGGAGUAUGUGGUUUAAUUCGAUGCAACGCGAAGAACCUUACCUGGUCUUGACAUCCCGGAGACCCUUAGGAAACUAGGGGGUGCUUCCAUCUGGAAGAAUCUGGAGACAGGUGCUGCAUGGCUGUCGUCAGCUCGUGUCGUGAGAUGUUGGGUUAAGUCCCGCAACGAGCGCAACCCUUGCCUUUAGUUGCCAGCAGUUCGGCUGGGCACUCUAAAGGGACUGCCGGUGUUAAACCGGAGGAAGGUGGGGAUGACGUCAAGUCCUCAUGGCCUUUAUGACCAGGGCUACACACGUACUACAAUGGCCGAUACAAAGGGCAGCGACACUGCGAGGUGAAGCCAAUCCCGUAAAAUCGGUCUCAGUCCGGAUUGGAGUCUGCAACUCGACUCCAUGAAGUUGGAAUCGCUAGUAAUCGUGGAUCAGCAUGCCACGGUGAAUACGUUCCCGGGCCUU